AGGGUACCACCAGGAGUGGAGCCUGCGGCUUAAUUCGACUCAACACGGGAAAACUCACCCGGUCCGGACACUUUAAGGAUUGACAGAUUGAAAGCUCUUUCUUGAUUAAGUGGGUGGCGGUGCAUGGCCGAUUAAGCUUAUGGUGUGGGCUUGGAAUAAGCGAGACUCGUGCCUCUAAAUAGAAUCCUGAUCUAGAAUAACAGUAUUCUUUUUAAAGGGAUCGGCGGUAUGUCCUAACCGCAUGAGAACGAGCGAAAUCAGGUCUGUGAUGCCCUUAGAUGUCCGGGGCAGCACGCGUGCUACAAUGGAUGAGUCAUACCGUGCCAUGUCCGAGAGGACUUGGGAAUCGGUGAAAUUCCUCCAUGAUUGGGAUCGGGGUUUGGAAUUGUCCCCCGUGAACGAGGAAUUCCUAGUAGGUGCUAGUCACCAACUAGCGUCGAAUAAGUCACUGCCCUUUGUACACACCGCCCGUCGCUACCGCCGAUUGAAUGAUUUAGUGAGGUCUUCGGACUGGCGGUC
This 519-nucleotide ribosomal RNA is filed under the name uncultured eukaryote. RNAcentral describes it as "bacterial SSU rRNA". It matches the Rfam family "Eukaryotic small subunit ribosomal RNA", at positions 1161 to 1723 of the family's 1831-position model. The record is from RNAcentral.